RNAcentral lists this ribosomal RNA (491 nucleotides) under uncultured bacterium. RNAcentral describes it as "partial 16S ribosomal RNA". It matches the Rfam family "Bacterial small subunit ribosomal RNA", at positions 29 to 507 of the family's 1533-position model. The record is from RNAcentral.
AGUGAACGCUGGCGGUAGGCCUAACACAUGCAAGUCGAACGGCAGCACAGUAGAGCUUGCUCUUACGGGUGGCGAGUGGCGGACGGGUGCGGAAUACAUCGGAAUCUACUUUUUCGUGGGGGAUAACGGAGGGAAACUUACGCUAAUACCGCAUACGACCUACGGGUGAAAGCAGGGGAUCUUCGGACCUUGCGCGAUUGAAUGAGCCGAUGUCGGAUUAGCUAGUUGGCGGGGUAAAGGCCCACCAAGGCGACGAUCCGUAGCUGGUCUGAGAGGAUGAUCAGCCACACUGGAACUGAGACACGGUCCAGACUCCUACGGGAGGCAGCAGUGGGGAAUAUUGGACAAUGGGCGCAAGCCUGAUCCAGCCAUACCGCGUGGGUGAAGAAGGCCUUCGGGUUGUAAAGCCCUUUUGUUGGGAAAGAAAAGCAGCAGGUUAAUACCCCGCUGUUCUGACGGUACCCAAAGAAUAAGCACCGGCUAACUUCGUG